CAGACCCUUCCAGUAGGCCUCUUUCUCCCAUGCCCCAGGCUUCCACAUCACACCCCGACCCCUACCAACACUGCCAUGAACUGGGAGGCCAGGAGGAGCAUCCUUUUUAUUUAUCCUUGAUAUUGGUUAUUGUGCAAUAGGAUUACCACGUGACCGGCACUGUGCUCAAGACUAGAGGCUCUGAUCUGUGCUCGGAGAGAUGGCCACCAGGGAACCCAUCCACCUGGAAGAGCUAAUAUAAGCCCAAGACCCAACACAGCCCUCCUGCCUGCUCUGUGCUCUGCCAUUAAAAACCCAAAAGGCUGUGGUCUGUGAGUUGCCGUGAGGAAGCAAAUGGUUGUUUACCAGUCCCUGGAAAAGAGUGAGCGUCACAAUCCCUCACACAGGAUGAGCCAUGGAAACACGUGGAAAGUAAAAACUCAGGAUGGUCUGAACACGGCGAUGAUGGAGCAUCAGAGCAGACAGCUGCAGGAGCCACCUGCCCACGCGGCCCGUCAGGACACAGAGGCAGGGCCUCACAGAAAGGAAGCAGGUAUCAUUUCCAGCCGGUGCUGACUGAACAAGACAAUAAAUGGAAGCUGCUCUAUAUUGGGUCAUAAAUCUGAGCUGGCCAA
Balaenoptera acutorostrata (minke whale) is the source of this 614-nucleotide long non-coding RNA. RefSeq lists it as uncharacterized. The transcript is spliced from 3 exons. Lineage: Eukaryota; Metazoa; Chordata; Mammalia; Artiodactyla; Balaenopteridae. The record is from RefSeq and is a predicted model, not a curated record.